GCCGAGGUAGGAUGGCUCAGUCAGUAGAGCAUGGGACUCUUAAUCUCGGGAUCAUGGGUUUCAGCCGCAUCUUGGGCA
Podarcis lilfordi (Lilford's wall lizard) is the source of this 78-nucleotide non-coding RNA. The record is from the annotation of a GenBank genome assembly. NCBI's taxonomy places the organism in Eukaryota, Metazoa, Chordata, Lepidosauria, Squamata, Lacertidae.